CAAUCCAGGUCGGUUUCUAUCUAUGCAGUUGUUUUCUUUAGUACGAAAGGACCAAGAAAACAGGACCACUGUCAGCGACACGUCCUAAACACAAGGCUGAACACAACUAAAGCCAAAUAACAAAUAUACGCCCGUAGACUUACGGGGACUUA
Molecule: ribosomal RNA, 152 nt
Filed under: Sceloporus woodi
Lineage: Eukaryota; Metazoa; Chordata; Lepidosauria; Squamata; Phrynosomatidae
Description: partial 16S ribosomal RNA
Source: RNAcentral